AGUGAACGCUGUCGGUAGGCCUAACACAUGCAAGUCGAACGGCAGCACAGUAAGAGCUUGCUCUUACGGGUGGCGAGUGGCGGACGGGUGAGGAAUACAUCGGUAUCUACUUUUUCGUGGGGGAUAACGUAGGGAAACUUACGCUAAUACCGCAUACGACCUACGGGUGAAAGCAGGGGAUCUUCGGACCUUGCCCGACUGAAUGAGCCGAUGUCGGAUUAGCUAGUUGGCGGGGUAAAGGCCCACCAAGGCGACGAUCCGUAGCUGGUCUGAGAGGAUGAUCAGCCACACUGGAACUGAGACAAGGUCCAGACCCCCACGGAGGGGAGGAGAAGGGAAUAUUAGACAAUAGGCGAAAACCUGAUCCAGCCACACCGCGUGGGUGAAGAAGGUCUUCAGGUUGUAAAGCCCUUUUGUUAGGAAAGACAAGCAGAAGGUUAAUACCCAGAUGUUAUGCCGGUACCCAAAGAAUAAGCACCGGCUAACUUCGUG
Molecule: ribosomal RNA, 492 nt
Filed under: uncultured bacterium
Lineage: Bacteria
Description: partial 16S ribosomal RNA
Rfam family: Bacterial small subunit ribosomal RNA
Source: RNAcentral